RNAcentral lists this ribosomal RNA (392 nucleotides) under uncultured bacterium. Its description in RNAcentral is "partial 16S ribosomal RNA". It matches the Rfam family "Bacterial small subunit ribosomal RNA", at positions 523 to 918 of the family's 1533-position model. The record is from RNAcentral.
AUACGGAGGAUCCGAGCGUUAUCCGGAUUUAUUGGGUUUAAAGGGUGCGCAGGCGGGAGAUUAAGUCGGCGGUGAAAUUUUGCAGCUCAACUGUAAAAGUGCCUUCGAAACUGGUUUCCUUGAGUGCAGAUGAAGCAGGCGGAAUUUGUGGCGUAGAGGGGAAAUGCAUAGAUAUCACGAGGAACUCCGAUUGCGCAGGCAGCUUACUAACUACUACUGACGCUCAGGCACGAAGGCGUGGGGAUCAAACAGGAUUAGAUACCCUGGUAGUCCACGCAGUAAACGAUGAUUACUAGCUGUUUGCGAUACAAUGUAAGCGGCUGAGCGAAAGCGUUAAGUAAUCCACCUGGGGAGUACGUUCGCAAGAAUGAAACUCAAAGGAAUUGACGGGU